CAGUAGCGUAUAUUAAAGUUGUUGCAGUUAAAAAGCUCGUAGUUGGAUUUCUGGUCUGACGACGCUGAUCCGCCCUAGUGGUGAGUGUCGGUCGUUCGUCUGCCAUCCUUCCGCAGCGCAAUUCUACCUUUCAUUAGGACGGACUUGCAAUGUGGAACUUUUACUUUGAAAAAUUAGAGUGUUCAAAGCAGGCUUGCGCUAUGAAUACAUUAGCAUGGAAUAAUAAUUUAGGACUUUGGUUCUAUUUUGUUGGUUUUCAGGACGAAAGUAAUGAUUGAUAGGGAUAGUUGGGGGUGCUAGUAUUCAGCGGCCAGAGGUGAAAUUCUUGGAUUCGCUGAAGACUAACUUAUGCGAAAGCAUUCACCAAGGAUGUCUUCUUUAAUCAAGAACGAAAGUUGGGGGAUCGAAGAUGAUCAGAUACCGU
Molecule: ribosomal RNA, 424 nt
Filed under: uncultured eukaryote
Lineage: Eukaryota
Description: bacterial SSU rRNA
Rfam family: Eukaryotic small subunit ribosomal RNA
Source: RNAcentral